This is a long non-coding RNA of Lathyrus oleraceus (garden pea), 617 nucleotides long. RefSeq lists it as uncharacterized. Lineage: Eukaryota; Viridiplantae; Streptophyta; Magnoliopsida; Fabales; Fabaceae. The record is from RefSeq and is a predicted model, not a curated record. The transcript has 3 exons.
ACUUGUCAAUAUCAGUGUGAUGUUAUAUGAUUGCAGACACAUAGUAACAAUUUCAUUAUGGAUAUGUAGGCUAACAGGAACUUUGCAUCAAAAGGAAGAUAUGCAGAAUUUUAUGAUGACCCUGUGAAAUGUUUCAUCAGGUCAGAUGGCAAUGGUGUUGAAGCUGUUCAGACUUCCAAGAAUACAUUAUACAACAAGAAGGCAGUUAUAGUUGCUGCUAGUUGUUGGACUGGUUCUUUGAUGCAAGAUUUGUUUAGAAAUUGGGGAAUGGAGUUUCAUGUUCCUGUAAGGCCCAGAAAGGGUCACCUACUCGCACUUCAGAACUUCAAUUCUCUUCAAUUGAACCAUGGCUUGAUGGAGGCAGGUUAUGUUGACCAUCCAUCUAUUUCUGGUUUGGAAUCAUCCGACAAUGAAUAGAACUUAUCAGUUUCAAUGACAGCAACAAUAGAUGCAGCAGGAAAUCUUCUUAUCGGUAAGCUUCUCUCUUAUGACUAUUAUAUAUACCAUAAAUUUGGAAGCUUAUAUUCCAAAAUUUAAGAGAGGCGAUUAUGUAUGUUGUUAUAGGUUUUGACUAUUUUUUGCGUUAUUAUUAUGUUUUCUUUUAAAAGAAAAUAUGU